Molecule: long non-coding RNA, 940 nt
Organism: Aegilops tauschii subsp. strangulata
Lineage: Eukaryota; Viridiplantae; Streptophyta; Magnoliopsida; Poales; Poaceae
Source: RefSeq, a predicted model, not a curated record
AAAUGCAUCAGUGCACCCUAAACUUGCUGGUUAGGACCAAAACGGUCCUCAAACUCUGUAACUGCAUCAUUACAGUCCUAAUACUUGGUCAUACGGUGUGAGUACGGUCCUCGAAUUUGGUCCAUCGGUCCUAGAGUUCGUGCAUCAUACGAAAUCGCUGUACAGAGGCGUAUCCGACUGGCCACGUCGUCCGUUUGUAGGGCCCACUUGUUAGUUGACUAGUCACGGUGGGCAGAAAUCCCCAAUUCCCUCUCAAAUCCCUACCUCUCGCCACACUCCCAGCAGCCAGCGGGCGCUCAACCAAAUCCCCGCCGCCGACCACACUCCUUCGACCAAAUCCCCGCCGCAGUACGUAUUGCUGGCAGCCAUGGGCGGCGCAAGCGUGGCCGUGAGCUCGGUCUCUGGCGAGGGCGGCAGCCUCGUCUUGUCUCCCCCGUCGGUCUCAGGCGUGGCCGCUGCCCCGCCCGUCGCCGGCCGUGGCUCGACCGUCCGUCGCCUGCCGUGGCUCCACCGCCCGUCGCCGGCCGUGGCUCCACUGCCCGUCGUCAGCCGUGGUUACUGAAGGAGGUCUGGCGCCAUGGACAGCCUUGUCUUCGACCGGAGACGUGCCAGGUUUCCUCCGGCGGACGGCCUCCAUGGAUGAGCUGGAGGCUCGCUAUCGCGGUCACGUGCUGCUCGCGACGGCUGUCGGCGUCGGUAGCUCAGCGGUGAUGCCCUUGCGCUUUUGGCGGCCAUGGAGAAUAAUUGCGGCGUCCUGCCGUCAGAGGAGAAGGGGAGGACCUCACUCGAACCCAUCAGUUCACCGCAAUCCUGGCUCCCGUGAUGCUUGAUGACAAGUUCAUCAACUGUGUGUCCUGUUUCUAUGUUCAUCAAGAGCAUGUACUUGUGUAUCCUGUUGCUAUGUACUUUGGCUGAAUCAAUACAAAAUUGCACCUGAAAA